This 1134-nucleotide long non-coding RNA is filed under the name Piliocolobus tephrosceles (Ugandan red Colobus). RNAcentral's name for it is "lncRNA (ENSPTEG00000024111.1)". Lineage: Eukaryota; Metazoa; Chordata; Mammalia; Primates; Cercopithecidae. The record is from RNAcentral.
UAUACGUAUAUAUAUUUUUUUUCUUUUUUUCUCAUUUCUUAUGCAGAAUACAAUUCGUUAAAUAUACUUAUGAAUGACACUCCAAAAGGGAACAAAGACGAUUUCUUUGACCUAAACCUAAUCGAAGAAAAAAAAGAUGAAAAGACUAUUAAUAUAACCCCUUUAAAAAUAUAUGACAAAAAUAACAUUGAAAUUAUGUUCCAAUUUGAUAAGGAAAGUUUAGAUUCGGAGAGUACUAAUAUAAAAGCUACUUAUUCGAACAAAUCGGACAAGCUUAUACCUUACUUUGUUUUUGAAGUAAUCAACACUUCUUCCGGUUUUGUUUGCAUUUUUUGCGUUUUUUAUUUUUACAAUGAUUGCUCAUUUAUAAUCUCCCAUUUUAUUCUACAUACGACACAUGUUUUUUCAAUUUCUAAUAUAUAUUUGUGGAUUUUUUUUUUUUUUUUUUUAACAGGCUGUUGUUCCUAAUUAUGUCAAACUGAACAUAUUUAAAGCUUCGUCAACUGAAUUGUUACCCUUCGAAGAAAACAAAAUAACACAAAAUAUGCUAAUUGUUAACAAACUUUUUAAAAAAAAACCAGUCCUUAUGAAAGUUAGGAUAUCAUAUACAAAAGACAACGAAAAAAUACAAGAUUUUAUUAAUAUAGGGAAUUUUCCUGAUGUUUUAUAAUAUAUAUACACAUGUGUAAAUAUACAUAUGUGUAAAUAUACACAUGUGUAAAUAUACAUAUGUGUAAAUAUACAUAUGUGUAAAUAUACAUAUAUAUAUAUAUAUAACGAAGAAAAAAAAAAAAAAACUUUGUCCCUAUUCCCUUUCACAUUUUAUUUUUUAUAAAAAAUUAGAAAAAACAUUAACACAUAUGGACAUAUAACAUAUGGGUAUGUAUGUCACAUAUGAAUGUUGUUCCACAUACAUUCAUUCGUUCACUCAUCUAAUCAUACAAUUACCCAAUCGUUCAUUUUUUUUUUUUUUUUUUUUUUUUUUUUGGUAUUUUAUUACGCUUGUAUUUGUUACUUUAUUCGAUUAUUAUAUUAUGUUUGAUAAUUAUAUUCUGUUCGAUAAUUAUAUUUUGUUCGAUAAUUAUAUUAUGUUCGAUAAUUAUAUUCUGUUCGAUUAUUUUAUUAUGUUCGAUU